Molecule: ribosomal RNA, 256 nt
Filed under: uncultured bacterium
Lineage: Bacteria
Description: partial 16S ribosomal RNA
Rfam family: Bacterial small subunit ribosomal RNA
Source: RNAcentral
UACAGAGGGGGCAAGCGUUGUUCGGAAUUACUGGGCGUAAAGGGCGCGUAGGCGGCCAACUAAGUCGGACGUGAAAUCCCCGAGCUCAACCCGGGAACUGCGUCCGAUACUGGAUGGCUUGAAUCCGGGAGAGGGAUGUGGAAUUCCAGGUGUAGCGGUGAAAUGCGUAGAUAUCUGGAGGAACACCGGUGGCGAAGGCGGCAUCCUGGACCGGUAUUGACGCUGAGGCGCGAAAGCCAGGGGGAGCCAAAGCGGG